This 331-nucleotide long non-coding RNA is filed under the name Mytilus galloprovincialis (Mediterranean mussel). The record is from RNAcentral. Lineage: Eukaryota; Metazoa; Mollusca; Bivalvia; Mytilida; Mytilidae.
CCUCUCUGUAGGUAUAAUAAACACAGAUAUAUACUCUAAACCUACAGAUACUCAUCAAUACUUGUCGCCUGAAAGUUGCCAUCCUCCACACUGCACGAAGAGCAUUCCAUACAGCCAAGCUCUCAGAAUAAGGCGAAUCUGCUCCUCUGAAGACACUGCAAAACAACGUCUGGGGCAGCUCAAAGGACAUUUGAAAAGAAGGGGAUAUAAACACAAAAACAUCAAAAAUAGUUUUCGAAAAGCGGAAUCCAUCCCCAGAAGCAGUCUGCUAACUUACAAAGAUAAACAGAAAAGUAAAAGAAUCCCAUGUGUGCUCACCUACCAUCCAUGC